UUCUUAGCGUAAGUAUUUCCCGUGCAAUAUUUGGGACAUACUUAUGCUUAAC
This 52-nucleotide microRNA precursor is filed under the name Canis lupus familiaris (dog). RNAcentral's name for it is "mir-1302 microRNA precursor family". It matches the Rfam family "mir-1302 microRNA precursor family". The record is from Rfam by way of RNAcentral. RNAcentral also lists the same sequence under 1 other name. Lineage: Eukaryota; Metazoa; Chordata; Mammalia; Carnivora; Canidae.